AUUACGAAUUUCAUCUUUUCUUAAAAAAUCGUGUUAUCCAAUUAAACAUUUCCUCAUUUACUGCCACGGAUAAGCAGUCUUGAACGGGACCCUCGUGACGGCCAUUCUCUUUAAAAUUGACACCUUUAGUGCUGUCUCUGGAUAUAAGGGAAGGAAUUGACUAUUAUGACAUGUGUGCAUAAAACUACACGCAAUCAGCAGUAGGUGCAGUCCUCGCACCCUAUAUAAGAACUUACCACCAAGGUCGUCGUCAAUAAACUGUUUUUCCGCAUCGAGGUACGUGCAUCCAAAGAAUUACACCAAAAGAAUUACAAUUCGAUCCUCACAAGGAGUAGAUAUGUAUUUCGUGGUUAAAAAAAGCAACAAUAUAUGCUCUUUUGUCAGUUCUUAUGAGGAAAGCGAAGGAGGCGGUUUAAAAGCCUUUGUGAAACAACAAACAACACCAGCAGAAAUACAAUGAGGCGCAUACAACAAGGAAUAGGUUUUGCUACGCUGUUUCUGGCACUUUCUGGAACUUUUGAAAUUCUACCAUCCUUGCCUACAGCCCCGAAAGAGUGCCAAAGAAACCAUGCUGACUACUUGGAAGAAACAACGAAAGAAAGGAUGACAUGUAUAACUAAAAACUGUGCUAAGCUGUAAAAAUCCGGCCUAAGGAUCAGCGGUGUCUACAAAAUCGACUCAGACGGUUUAGGUGCCUUUAAGGUGUAUUGUGACCAAACAACAGCCGGUGGGGGGUGGAUAGUGUUUCAGAAGAGAUUGGAUGGCUCUGGUGAUUUUAACCGCACUUGGGAUGACUACAAACAUGGCUUUGGUAACUCCAUUGGUGAAUUUUGGCUCGGACUGGACAAGAUAAACCGCCUGACACGAAACAAGACAAAAAACUUGCUGCGAGUUGAUCUGGCAAUAGCAACUAGCAAAACUGUUCACGCUGAGUAUGGCUGGUUCGGGAUUGGGAACGAGACAGCUAUGUACCGGCUGUACAUUGGCAAUGUUACAACUGGGAUAGAGAUCCAGCUGAUUAUGCUGGCGCUCAAAAAAGAAGCGGAGGCUGGUGAUAUAGCAACAGUAGU
Long non-coding RNA from Stylophora pistillata, 1070 nucleotides. RefSeq lists it as uncharacterized. The record is from RefSeq and is a predicted model, not a curated record. NCBI's taxonomy places the organism in Eukaryota, Metazoa, Cnidaria, Anthozoa, Scleractinia, Pocilloporidae.